UUCCCCGAAGCCGCGCCAGAUGUCGCAAGCGCACGGAGCAGUGAGACCAUCUACACCAACGUCCAACACAAAAAGAUCGACUCGCUUCCUCGACCGAGAGCAACGUCCCUUCGUUCCGUUCUCUACCUGAAGCACGAGAACCAAAAAUGCCUCUGAGGAGACUUUUAGAGGUGGAGCCCCCCGGCCCUCUGCGCUAUAUAGUCGGGGCCGUGAUCAUGAUGGUCGGUGUCGUUCUGCCCGUCGGAUAUAUGAUGUUCCGGAACAAGCGGGUCCCGUCCGCUUCUUCCUACUCCAAGCAGACGUAGGAAUAAAGUCCUGAUAUAGGAAUGCUGCGGAGAUUUGGCUUCUUUUCUGUCCCUGGUUAUUGGAAGGACCACCGGUAAUGCGGUUGUUCUUAUUCAGCUUUGAAUGUAAAAUCUGAUUUUUGGGUUUUUAGUUGUUGGAAAUUCUAAUGCUGUUUCCAUAAGAUGAAUGUAUUUGGUCCGAUUUGUUUGUCAUGGAGAAGUGCAUUUGUUCA
Long non-coding RNA from Magnolia sinica, 517 nucleotides. RefSeq lists it as uncharacterized. The record is from RefSeq and is a predicted model, not a curated record. NCBI's taxonomy places the organism in Eukaryota, Viridiplantae, Streptophyta, Magnoliopsida, Magnoliales, Magnoliaceae. The transcript has 3 exons.